UUUCUUCAGUCUGAAGCAACAUUUAGUACAUAGACACGAACUGCGCUCAGUCAAAUUGAAUGCUUAUUUUUCAGUACCUGUCUUGCAAUGAUAUAAAUCCAGAGUGUUGGUAAAGCUGGUAGAUGGAGAGUCAAACGGGAUGAAAGUUACGAUUUAUAGCUGGAUUGGGCAGAAUGUAUCCUAUCUCAAACUCAGCUAGCUGCUUACAUAAGCUUUCCGUAUCUUCCUUUGUCGUCUCUAUUGGCAUUCAGUGAUUGAAAUCAGCCAGAACAGAGAGAGGGAGGGUGUGUUCUGCUCCAGCUGCUGUCCCUUCUACUCCAGCAACCAUUCAGAUUCGAGAUUGUUAUUGUGGAUUUGUGAGUUUAUGAUGUUUGUAUGCCUCUAGUUGGCACUAGAGAAGACUUUGUAUUUCCUUUUUGAUAAUAGUGAAAGAUUAAUGGACUACGGUCCCGUGGUUUUUACUCCUCACAUCGGGGAGGUUUUCCACGUAAAAAUUUGGGUGCAUUGAUCCUUAAUUUUCCGUAUAUAUUUGUAGCUUUGAUUAUAUUCACUCAAGAAAGAAAAGAAAUUU
Pistacia vera is the source of this 571-nucleotide long non-coding RNA. RefSeq lists it as uncharacterized. Lineage: Eukaryota; Viridiplantae; Streptophyta; Magnoliopsida; Sapindales; Anacardiaceae. The record is from RefSeq and is a predicted model, not a curated record. The transcript has 3 exons.